RNAcentral lists this ribosomal RNA (296 nucleotides) under uncultured bacterium. Its description in RNAcentral is "partial 16S ribosomal RNA". It matches the Rfam family "Bacterial small subunit ribosomal RNA", at positions 475 to 776 of the family's 1533-position model. The record is from RNAcentral.
CUAUGCGCCUUGCCAGCCCGCUCAGGUGUGCCAGCAGCCGCGGUAAUACGUAGGGGCAAGCGUUAUCCGGAUUUACUGGGUGUAAAGGGGGCGCAGACGGCGAUGCAAGCCAGGAGUGAAAGCCCGGGGCCAACCCCGGGACUGCUCUUGGAACUGCGUGGCUGGAGUGCAGGAGGGGCAGGCGGAAUUCCUGGUGUAGCGGUGAAAUGCGUAGAUAUCAGGAGGAACACCGGUGGCGAAGGCGGCCUGCUGGACUGCAACUGACGUUGAGCCCGAAAGCGUGGGGAGCAAACAGG